RNAcentral lists this ribosomal RNA (492 nucleotides) under uncultured bacterium. RNAcentral's name for it is "partial 16S ribosomal RNA". It matches the Rfam family "Bacterial small subunit ribosomal RNA", at positions 29 to 507 of the family's 1533-position model. The record is from RNAcentral.
AGUGAACGCUGGCGGUAGGCCUAACACAUGCAAGUCGAACGGCAGCACAGUAAGAGCUUGCUCUUACGGGUGGCGAGUGGCGGACGGGUGAGGAAUACAUCGGAAUCUACUUUUUCGUGGGGGAUAACGUAGGGAAACUUACGCUAAUACCGCAUACGACCUACGGGUGAAAGCAGGGGAUCUUCGGACCUUGCGCGAUUGAAUGAGCCGAUGUCGGAUUAGCUAGUUGGCGGGGUAAAGGCCCACCAAGGCGACGAUCCGUAGCUGGUCUGAGAGGAUGAUGAGCCACACUGGAACUGAGACACGGUCCAGACUCCUACGGGAGGCAGCAGUGGGGAAUAUUGGACAAUGGGCGCAAGCCUGAUCCAGCCAUACCGCGUGGGUGAAGAAGGCCUUGGGGUUGUAAAGCCCUUUUGUUGGGAAAGAAAAGCAGCAGGUUAAUACCCCGCUGUUCUGACGGUACCCAAAGAAUAAGCACCGGCUAACUUCGUG